Molecule: transfer RNA, 72 nt
Filed under: Candidatus Falkowiibacteriota bacterium
Lineage: Bacteria; Candidatus Falkowiibacteriota
Description: tRNA-Gly
Rfam family: tRNA
About the family: Transfer RNA (tRNA) molecules are approximately 80 nucleotides in length. Their secondary structure includes four short double-helical elements and three loops (D, anti-codon, and T loops).
Source: RNAcentral
GCGGGCGUAGUACAAUGGCUAGUAUAUCAGCCUUCCAAGCUGAGGAUGUGGGUUCGAUCCCCAUCGCCCGCU